AUUGUGUGAGUUAGGUUAUAGCGGGGCUAGGUAGGAGAAUGUGCCAGAAAUCUCGUUGCUUUGCCGAUCAAUACUUGGUUUUUGCUUAUUAUUUUCGAAAAAAAAUAGUAAAUCAUAAUGAUCGUGUUAUUGAACAAUAAUUCAUGACACAAGGAACACAAUAAUAUUAAUGAUUAUCAUAUAUACAAUGAAAAAACACUGCGACGCUGCAUGCCUAUAUAAGAGAGCCGGCCGGCUUGGCUCGACGCAUUCGUAAACAAACUUUCGUUCAGUUCGGACGCAGUGAACACCCGAAGACCCACCAACCAGUGAACAUACCUCUACUUCUUUUACGUGGUCCACGAGGCUGCUGACAAUACGACGUGAAAAUGUAGACGAGACGGAUUCGGUGCGGAGCGCGACAGUUUACCUGCACCCUGCGGGGUCGGUGCUUGAACAAUCCGUACGCAACCAUAAUAUCUGAUCUGAUUAGAGAGUUCGAAAUUUCUUCACACAUUUGAAGUAUUUAAGAAAAGCACUUCGAGUUAUAUGCAGUAGUUUAGAGCAGACUCGUAGUUUGAAGUCGAAUGAAUCGUCGGCUCCAUCUUAUCAAAAUGAAUAUACUCUACCACAAGAACAUAUGGAACUUCGGAAUUGAGAACGAAAAAUAACAGAAUCAAUACAGAACAGGAAAUAAAAGAAAAAAGGAACAUAAAAAGGCUCGAAAGAAAACGGAUCACUUUCCUAGCAUUUAUCGAGCAGCAUCGGGUGAGUCCUUUGCUCGGGACUCACCACCGAGCUCUUCUCUCCAUCUUUUUACCUUUUUGGGUGCCGUAAUAGUUAAAACACCAUCCGAAGAUAGACUCGAGGUAAUGUUGAUCACGUCGUGAGAUGGAGGCAAGACGUAUCUCCGUAUGAAUUGUCGGCUGACAAAUCCAUGCUCGUCUUGUCUCUCCUCGUGUUUUGCUUCGACAAUAACAUUAUUACCAACCGUCUUCACCGUAAUCUCUUCCGGUGAGAAUUGUUGAACGUCCAGUAUUACCUGCGGAGAUCAGAGCAGAAUAAUUGAGACAGGCCCGAAGUUUAAAAGUCGAGCAAAGGGAUAUAUCUUUUAUUGGAGCACGAUGUUACGUGUAAUGAAUAUGAUAUUUCAAAGAGGCAAUAAGAGAGAUCUGAACGACCGUUGAGAAACACAUCCAUUCCACAUCCGGUUCUGGCCUCUCGCAUCUUAUAUAUCAUUGAUAUUCUAUUAAAUCAUCAUUUAUUGCGAAAAUUUCAAAUAUCAAGCUUUUUCACACCGAUUCAGGGAAAGGCUAAUUCUUUUGAAUUAACGCCGCUUUAAGCAAACGAAGUUCGUCUUCGCCUGGUAUUGAAAACCUACGUUUAGAAUUAACACGUUAGGCAGUCUGUAUCUGUAUUUCGAAGUAACAGAUUUCCUUCUCUGAAAGAUCCCUAAAUGUCCAGUUAUUGGAUAUAAAUUUGCAGUCAGCUAUUAGCUACAAUACGCACAACCGUUUCUAAAAUCUUCUAUAUAAUCACUUUAAUAAAUAUUUGACAGAAAGAAGUAAAACACUGAAAAAUAUAAAAA
This is a long non-coding RNA of Apis florea (little honeybee), 1567 nucleotides long. Lineage: Eukaryota; Metazoa; Arthropoda; Insecta; Hymenoptera; Apidae. The record is from RefSeq and is a predicted model, not a curated record.